UUAUGGCCAUAUCACGUUGAAACACCGGCUCUCGUUCGAUCACCGAAGUUAAGCAACGUUGAGCCUGAAUAAUACUUAGAUGAGCGACCGCAUACCAGGUGCUGUAAG
Non-coding RNA from Acanthosepion pharaonis, 108 nucleotides. Lineage: Eukaryota; Metazoa; Mollusca; Cephalopoda; Sepiida; Sepiidae. The record is from the annotation of a GenBank genome assembly.